Molecule: non-coding RNA, 74 nt
Organism: Cordylochernes scorpioides
Lineage: Eukaryota; Metazoa; Arthropoda; Arachnida; Pseudoscorpiones; Chernetidae
Source: the annotation of a GenBank genome assembly
UGUCAAGGGAUGGGAAUCGAACCCACGACCUUCCGCUUACCGGGCAAUGCCAUGACCACUAGGCUAUCCUGGAC